RNAcentral lists this ribosomal RNA (1475 nucleotides) under Saimiri boliviensis boliviensis (Bolivian squirrel monkey). RNAcentral's name for it is "bacterial SSU rRNA". It matches the Rfam family "Bacterial small subunit ribosomal RNA". RNAcentral also lists the same sequence under 1 other name. Lineage: Eukaryota; Metazoa; Chordata; Mammalia; Primates; Cebidae. The record is from RNAcentral.
AGAGUUUGAUUCUGGCUCAGGAUUAAUGCUGGUGGUAUGCAUAACACAUGCAAGUCGAACGAAGGGGAGUCUCUCCUCUUAGUGGCAAACGGGCGAGUAAUACAUAUUUAACCUACAUAUGCGAGGGGGACAGCAUUUCGAAAGGAAUAUUAAUACUCCAUAGGUUUAUAGAGUAAAUUAAAGGGCGCUCCCGAAAGGGGGCGCUGCGCAUAGAUGGGAAUAUGUCCUAUUAGGUAGUUGGCGGGGUAAAUGCCCACCAAGCCUAUGAUGGGUAGCUGGGCUGAGAGGUUGUACAGCCGCAAUGGGAUUGAGAAAUGGCCCAUAUUCCUACGGGAAGCAGCAGUGAGGAAUUUUUCACAAUGGACGAAAGUCUGAUGGAGCAAUACCACGUGAACGAUGAAUGUCUUCUGAUUGUAAAGUUCUUUUAUUUAGGAUAAAAAGCAUGAUAGGAAAUGAUUAUGCCUUGAUAGUACUAAAUGAAUAAGUGACAGCUAACUAUGUGCCAGCAGCUGCGGUAACACAUAGGUCACAAGCAUUAUCCGGAUUUAUUGGGCGUAAAGGAAGCGUAGGCGGAUAGUUUGAUCCAGUGUUAAAUGCAUCUGCUCAACAGAUGUAUGCAUUGGAAAUCAUCUAUCUAGAAUUAGUUAGAGGGUACUGGAAUUCAAUGUGGAGCGGUGGAAUGCGUAGAUAUAUUGAGGAACACCAGAGGCUAAGGCGAGUACCUGGGACAUAAUUGACGCUGAGGCUUGAAAGCGUGGGGAGCAAAUGGGAUUAGAUACCCCAGUAGUCCACGCCGUAAACGAUGGGUAUUAGGUAUUUGGGUUUAAUCUGAGUACUGUAGCUAACGCGUUAAAUACCCCGCCUGGGUAGUAUAUAUGCAAAUAUGAAACUCAAAGAAAUUGACGGGGACCUGAACAAGUGGUGGAGCAUGUUGCUUAAUUCGAUAAUACACGAAAAACCUUACCAAGGCUUGUAAUCUUCUGCAAAGCUAUAGAAAUAUAGUGGAGGCUAUCAGAAUGACAGGUGGUGCAUGGCUGUCGUCAGCUCGUGUCUUGAGAUGUUUGGUUAAGUCCCGUAACGAGCGCAACCCUACUCAUUAGUUACCUAGUUCUAAUGUGACUGAAUCGUAAGAUAUAGGAAGGAUGGGGCCAAGUCAAGUCAUCAUGCCCCUUAUGCCUUGGGCUGCAAACGUGCUACAAUGGUAGGUACAAUGUGUUGCAACCUAGCAAUAGGAAGCUAAUCACUAAACCCUAUCUCAGUCCGGAUAAAAGGCUGCAAUUCGCCUAUUUGAAGUUGGAAUCACUAGUAAUCCUGUGUCAGCUAUAUCAGGGUGAAUACGUUCCCAGGUCUUGUACACACCGCCCGUCAAACUAUGAAAGAAUGUACUAGUUAAAACCGCAUUAAAUUGCGUCUAGAUUGGUAAAUUUAAUUGGAGUUAAGUCGUAACAAGGUACCCGUACGAGAACGUGCGGGUG